UACGUAGGGUGCGAGCGUUAUUCGGAAUUACUGGGCGUAAAGCGUGCGCAGGCGGUUUUGUAAGUCAGAUGUGAAAUCCCCGGGCUUAACCUGGGAAUGGCAUUUGGGACUGCAAGGCUGGAGUGCGGCAGAGGAGACUGGAAUUCCUGGUGUAGCAGUGAAAUGCGUAGAUAUCAGGAAGAAUACCGAUGGCGAAGGCAGGUCUCUGGGCUGACACUGACGCUCAUGCACGAAAGCGUGGGGAGCAAACAGG
Molecule: ribosomal RNA, 253 nt
Filed under: uncultured bacterium
Lineage: Bacteria
Description: partial 16S ribosomal RNA
Rfam family: Bacterial small subunit ribosomal RNA
Source: RNAcentral